GAUGAGCGCUGGCGGCGUGCCUAAUACAUGCAAGUCGAGCGAACGGACGAGAAGCUUGCUUCUCUGAUGUUAGCGGCGGACGGGUGAGUACACGUGGAUAACCUACCUAUAAGACUGGGAUAACUUCGGGAAACCGGAGCUAAUACCGGAUAAUAUUUUGAACCGCAUGGUUCAAAAGUGAAAGACGGUCUUGCUGUCACUUAUAGAUGGAUCCGCGCUGCAUUAGCUAGUUGGUAAGGUAACGGCUUACCAAGGCAACGAUGCAUAGCCGACCUGAGAGGGUGAUCGGCCACACUGGAACUGAGACACGGUCCAGACUCCUACGGGAGGCAGCAGUAGGGAAUCUUCCGCAAUGGGCGAAAGCCUGACGGAGCAACGCCGCGUGAGUGAUGAAGGUCUUCGGAUCGUAAAACUCUGUUAUUAGGGAAGAACAUAUGUGUAAGUAACUGUGCACAUCUUGACGGUACCUAAUCAGAAAGCCACGGCUAACUACGUG
RNAcentral lists this ribosomal RNA (496 nucleotides) under uncultured bacterium. Its description in RNAcentral is "partial 16S ribosomal RNA". It matches the Rfam family "Bacterial small subunit ribosomal RNA", at positions 28 to 507 of the family's 1533-position model. The record is from RNAcentral.